CCUCUACAGGAGCAGAUCCAGGCCGCAGGCGAGGUGUGGUCUCAGAUUUUCCUCUAUGAAGAUCCAACUUAUAUAGGAUUGGUCCUCUGGAAGAACUGUGAAAUCCUGAUACUAUUCCUUUCAGUAAUCUGUUUCCCCAGUUUCCAGUAAUCUGAAAAACAUUCCUUUCUUGGGAACUAAUGAUAGCAUUCACUCUGAGUGGAGGCACAAAUACAUCUCUUCUGGCUUGUAACAGCAAGAUACAAAUCACAGGACAAUUGCAGACUUUUGGAUGUGGUUUUCACAGGAGAUUUAUUGGAGCAUCUGAAAUAAUUCUAAUAAGCAGUGAGCUGUUGAAUCUGCCACUUCAUGAAUAGAGCUGGUAGUAAAGCAUCUGCACAGCUGCAGGAUCUAUCUACAGCAGUAAUUUUAGAUCAAGUAUUUUGUAUUUGCUUACAAAGCACCCUCUGCUGUUUGAGCUGCUACAUGCUUUGUAGAUAAAGCUGCAUUUUGGAAAGUUCAAUAGUCUUUUUGAGGGUCCCUGUAAGAGCUGCAAAAAUAUCCAGAGACAAUCUUAUCAAUCUCAUUCCUGUAGAGCAUAUCAUCUGGUUGGGCAAGUAGGAAUGGCGUGGUGCUAGGAGGUGUGUUUUUGCUUGUUUUCUAAUCCCAGAAAGAACAAAGCUGAGACAUAAGUAACAGGAAGGGUAAUAAACCAAGCAGAUAAAACUU
This 708-nucleotide long non-coding RNA is filed under the name Phasianus colchicus (ring-necked pheasant). RNAcentral describes it as "lncRNA (ENSPCLG00000019659.1)". The record is from RNAcentral. Lineage: Eukaryota; Metazoa; Chordata; Aves; Galliformes; Phasianidae.